This 210-nucleotide long non-coding RNA is filed under the name Setaria italica (foxtail millet). RNAcentral's name for it is "long non-coding RNA (SITA_LNC000592)". The record is from RNAcentral. Lineage: Eukaryota; Viridiplantae; Streptophyta; Magnoliopsida; Poales; Poaceae.
GACUAUGUUUAAUACUCCUAAUUAGUAUCAAACAUCCGAUGUGACAGGUGCUAAAGUUUAGCGGGGUGUAUCCAAACACCCCGUUAAUCUGGGAAAGAUUAAAUCCUGCCAAUCCAUUCAAAUCUGAACAUGUCAAUCUAUCUAGCACAGAUGGAAUCAAUCCAGAUCAAUCCCAUGCAUGCAUAUACGCGAAUACUGAUAAGUGAGCAC